GACGAACGCUGGCGGCGUGCUUAACACAUGCAAGUGGAGCGACGAACCAGGGCAUGCCCUGGGGCAAAGCCGCGAACGGGUGAGUAACACGUGGGUAACCUGCCCCGAAGACCGGGACAACCCGAGGAAACUCGGGCUAAUACCGGAUGUGGUCACUCUUCAUAAGGAGAGUGAGCAAAGGAAGCUUCGGCCUCCGCUUCGGGAUGGGCCCGCGGCCCAUUAGCUUGGUGGUGAGGUAACGGCUCACCAAGGCUUCGAUGGGUAGCUGGUCUGAGAGGACGAUCAGCCACACUGGGACUGAGACACGGCCCAGACUCCUACGGGAGGCAGCAGUGGGGAAUCUUGCGCAAUGGGCGACAGCCUGACGCAGCAACGCCGCGUGAGGGAAGAAGGCUUUCGGGUCGUAAACCUCUUUCAGGAGGGACGAAGCUUCGGGAGUGAAUAGCUUUCCGGAGUGACGGUACUUCCACAAGAAGCCCCGGCUAACUACGUGCCAGCCGCCGCCGAAA
Molecule: ribosomal RNA, 509 nt
Filed under: uncultured bacterium
Lineage: Bacteria
Description: partial 16S ribosomal RNA
Rfam family: Bacterial small subunit ribosomal RNA
Source: RNAcentral